CUUCAGGAUGAUAGUGCAGAGCAGAAGCCUGGCCCAAACCACAAGCCCUGGAACCGGUUCAAACCAAACACAGACAGGAAACCACCCACCCAGGAACAGAGACUUUAGGUGCUUCAAGCAAGAGGGGAGUGUAACCAAUGACUGCCACUUCACUCUCCUUCAUAUGCUUAGCCGAACUUAGGAAAGGAACUGCAGGGAUAGAAAUGAAGAGGAGCCUGAGGAAAUGAAGGUCCAAGGACAGGCCCAAAGUUGGAUCCAGCUUAAAGGAAGGCCCAAAGGCCUGACACUAUUACUGACGCUAUGGAGCGUCCACAAAAAGGGACCCUGUCAUGACCACACUCCAGAAGACCCAACAAGAAGCUGAAAGAGACCGUGCAUUCUAUUGGAUUGUUUAGACUGAAUAUGGAUUUGCUAUCAUGUUCUUCAAUGGCCUCUCACAAUUGCAACUGUUGGAUUCUUGGUGUCCUGGAAGCACAACAUCUACAGUGACAUUUAUUAAGACUUGAUGCUCCUAAGAAGUCAAGGUCUCCACUGCGAAGGAAUUGUUCUUACAGUGACACGUUUUUCUUCCACAAGACUGAUCCUUUUUGUGUAAUACUACUAAGAAAGCAUUCCACUGCACAGUGGCUUGUCUAGGAAGAUUCAAAAGUUUUGAUUUUGUCCAAACAAUGUAUGUUUUAUAUUUAAGAAAUAAAAUUUCUGGAAUUCAGGAUGCUGUAUAGUGUGACAAAGCCCUUUAACCCCAAUGCAUGAAAGACUAAGUUGAGAAAAGUAAACGUUCAAAGCCA
Long non-coding RNA from Mus caroli (Ryukyu mouse), 788 nucleotides. RefSeq lists it as uncharacterized. Lineage: Eukaryota; Metazoa; Chordata; Mammalia; Rodentia; Muridae. The record is from RefSeq and is a predicted model, not a curated record.